GGAUGCAUGCGAAUCAUCAAUUGCUCGAUCCAAACUUAAACAGAUUAAAAAGAACAACUAUAAAAAGACCUGAUCCAUUAAAUAUUCCAUAGAAAAUAAGCAUCUUCCAUCGAACCACAAAUUUCAACAUCACAUAGUUAAUGUAAAGCCUAAACAUAAAAGGAUUAGUUCCUUAAUCUUUGGUGGUCUUAACUUUGCUAAAGAAUCAGCUUUAUAUUUGAAUGCACACAGCACUAUAUUUCACAUGACCUGGCAGCUUUGAUUGUUGCGCAGAAUAUAGAAUCCAGAACACACUGAUUCAGCGCACACAUAUCCAGUGAGCCUUUUGUUGAUUCCAACUCAAAGAGAGCAGGCUUUUCUUCCCUGCAGUUUAGCAGUUCUGGUAAUCUGUUUUGUACCUCCAUUUUACACAGUUUAGCAAUUUAGCAUUUCAGCAAGAUUACAAGCGAUUCAAAGAGGGAAAAAAGCAAACACUAAGAUGGCAACCAAAGAAAGAAAGAAAACAAACCUGGUGAAGAAACCAAUCAAGCUGAGAGCAAACCACAGCUGGAGAACUCUCUCACAGACACCACAGAAUCACUUACAAUAUAACAUAAAAAGCACAAGCAUUCAUCUCUCGCGCAGACUUUGCCAUAAUAAUAUUUUUACACAAACAUAGAGGUAACAUCAAUACAAACCAAACAAGUUUUCCCUCUCCAUUUCUACUUAUUAAAUCUUUCAAACACAUUAUCUAAAAGACUUUAUGGGGUGUGAGGGGUGGGAACUAAUAUACCAAAAACAUAUUUUGGUUGUACCAUGAUUAUCUAAGCCAGGCCUAAACGACAAGCCGAGGUCGCCCUGAGCCUAGCCGAGGUGACUAGGCAUUGGUGUUUGAGUGAAAAUACUUACCAAUUGUCUGUAAAGCUCAAA
RNAcentral lists this long non-coding RNA (909 nucleotides) under Populus tremula. Its description in RNAcentral is "long non-coding RNA (PTRE_LNC002490)". Lineage: Eukaryota; Viridiplantae; Streptophyta; Magnoliopsida; Malpighiales; Salicaceae. The record is from RNAcentral.